ACGAUGAUGCAUAGCCCGAGUUGAGAGACUGAUCGGGCCACAUUGGGGACUGAGACACGGGGCCCAAACUCCUACGGGGGGAGGGGCAGCAGGUAGGGGGAAUCUUCCACAAUGGACGCAAGUCUGAUGGAGCAACGCCGCGUGAGUGAAGUAAGGUUUUCGGAUCGUAAAGCUCUGUUGUUGGUGAAGAAGGAUAGAGGUAGUAACUGGCCUUUAUUUGACGGUAAUCAACCAGAAAGUCACGGCUAACUACGUGCCAGCAGCCGCGGUAAAU
RNAcentral lists this ribosomal RNA (274 nucleotides) under uncultured Lactobacillus sp. RNAcentral's name for it is "partial 16S ribosomal RNA". It matches the Rfam family "Bacterial small subunit ribosomal RNA", at positions 273 to 525 of the family's 1533-position model. The record is from RNAcentral. Lineage: Bacteria; Bacillati; Bacillota; Bacilli; Lactobacillales; Lactobacillaceae.